Molecule: ribosomal RNA, 437 nt
Filed under: uncultured Anoxybacillus sp.
Lineage: Bacteria; Bacillati; Bacillota; Bacilli; Caryophanales; Anoxybacillaceae
Description: bacterial SSU rRNA
Rfam family: Bacterial small subunit ribosomal RNA
Source: RNAcentral
UUAAUCGAAGCAACGCGAAGAACCUUACCAGGUCUUGACAUCCCUGACAACCCGAGAGAUCGGGCGUUCCCCUUCGGGGGACAGGGUGACAGGUGGUGCAUGGUUGUCGUCAGCUCGUGUCGUGAGAUGUUGGGUUAAGUCCCGAAACACGAGCGCAACCCUCGACCUUAGUUGCCAGCAUUCAGUUGGGCACUCUAAGGUGACUGCCGGCUAAAAGUCGGAGGAAGGUGGGGAUGACGUCAAAUCAUCAUGCCCCUUAUGACCUGGGCUACACACGUGCUACAAUGGGCGGUACAAAGGGUCGCGAACCCGCGAGGGGGAGCCAAUCCCAAAAAGCCGCUCUCAGUUCGGAUUGCAGGCUGCAACUCGCCUGCAUGAAGCCGGAAUCGCUAGUAAUCGCGGAUCAGCAUGCCGCGGUGAAUACGUUCCCGGGCCUU